CCAACAGAGACAUCCUCUCCUCUCCUGUCUCCUCAGAUUUCUCUUUAAAUAACUUCAUUUCCUUUGAAACCUGCCCUGAUCCCACAGUUUAAAUUCAUUUCAAUUCAAUAAAGAGAGUUAAGAAAGGCCUGUGUCAUAAAGAGUAUGAUUUACUCUUAUGUUGAGCCACAAAACUGAUACAAACUUGUAAACUAAAGGCCUGGCUCUUAAGAAUUUAUGAUACAGUUGGACCAGCAUGCAUGAGCCCACAGUAAACAGGACAAGAUAGAGUGGAUUUGGAGCUAAAUCCAAUGGUGUAGACACGGAGCGCUAGGGAGGAAAAGAUGGCUAGUCUUCUACUUCAACCAGAUUGCAAACCCACUAAGGCCUGGGAACAUAUAUGUCUGCAUAGAAUUGAAUGAGACCUUUGAGAUCAUUCUGUAUAAUCGUUUUAUUUCUACAGCUGGGGAAAUUGAAGACCAACAAGUUGUGAGUUGUCCAAGCUCAUACUACUAAUUAGUAUUCAGAAAACUCCUUAAAAUUCUGCUUGUUUUUGUCUUCCCUUGAUUGGUGAAGAAAAGAGGGAGUGACACUUUUCUCAGGGACUUUGUUACACUGUAGUUUGUCUAGGAUUUCCUCACCUUGAGGAGUAGGAGUAGUAAGAGGCAUGAUCUUGUAGUUUUGGUAUAGAUAUUUUUGAGAAUGUGAGUCACUUAUCACUCUGUGCUGGCCAGGAAGACUUCAAUGUGGAAAUUCUGGGACUCUGAACAUUGAUUUAAAUUCUCUCCACCAAUACAGGAUAAGGCAUUAGAAUCAAGAGUUUUUCUCCAAGUGGGAACUCCAAGUGGAGUUUUUCUCCAAGGCCGAUGAGAUAAGCCCUGGUCAUAAGUGAGAAAAAGCAGUUCAGAUCUGAGCUGGGUUGGCCAGACCAGAGAGAGAAAUGGGAGCAUUAUAAGAGGCUGAGCCUGGCUCUGGAGGUGAGAGUGUUGGGCUUUCUCUUUAGACACCCAAAUGAGAGAUGCCUUCUUUCCAGCUGGGAGCCUUGAAUGGCCUAAGGUGGCUUGCCAUCACUGGUCACAUCCAUUCUUGAGCUGCAGAUAUCUGAGCCUUGAGAGUCAUCAGCCCUGAUAGCAAAAGUAGGAAAAAGUCCAGCUAGAUCAUUGCACAUUUGCCAUCUUCUCCACUAGUGCCAGAAAAUUGCUCAUUUUAAUCUUUUUUACUCAAGAAAAAAAUAUCAAUAUAUUUUGAUAAAGGUAGUUGGGUUAAACAGGAUUUCAAUAGUCCUUCUUUAACCUCCAAUCUGUUUAGAAACCAUUCUUGAGCAGCAAUACUUCUUUGCCUGAAACUGAACUGCCCAUUCCAUUGGUUUUCUCGCCAAAAAGUUGAAGAAGAAUCUAUAAAAACUGAGAGUUUUUAAUUGCUAUUAUUUUAAUAGCUUUAGGGAGGUAUCGUUAACAUACAGCCAACUGCAAAUAUUUAAAGUAUACAACUUGAUUUGGUAAGUUUGGACAUAUGAAUCCACCUCUGAAACACCAAAGCUUCCUUGUAUUAAUACCUCUUUGAAAUGUCUUUCUACCAUUCCUGCCCCGUGGUCUCUAGGCAACCACAGAUUUGCUUUCUCUCACUCUAGAUUAGUUCACAUGUUCUAGAAUUUUACAUCAGUGGAAUCCUACAAUAUAAAUCUUUUUUGCUUGGCUUCUUUCACUCAGCAUAAUCAUUUUAAAAUUUAUUUGUGUUCAUCAGAAUCUACCCUUAAACAUAAAGCUUGCUUCAAAUGACCAAGAGAAGAAUUCAUAGAACUUGACCCAUUUGUAAGUUGGAGACAGUUGGAAUAUUAUACUAAUACAUAAUGCUAAAGCAUAUAUGUUCUAUGUAUAUUUAACAAUAUGUGAAG
This 1873-nucleotide long non-coding RNA is filed under the name Homo sapiens (human). RNAcentral's name for it is "HSALNT0394390". The record is from RNAcentral. Lineage: Eukaryota; Metazoa; Chordata; Mammalia; Primates; Hominidae.